Acanthosepion pharaonis is the source of this 107-nucleotide non-coding RNA. Lineage: Eukaryota; Metazoa; Mollusca; Cephalopoda; Sepiida; Sepiidae. The record is from the annotation of a GenBank genome assembly.
CCAUAUCAUGCUGAAACACUAAUUCUCAUUCGAUCACCAGGGUUAAGCAAUGUCAGACUUGGUUAGUACCUUGAUGGGUGACUACUUAGGAAUACCAUAUGCUGCAA